Acanthopagrus latus (yellowfin seabream) is the source of this 258-nucleotide long non-coding RNA. RefSeq lists it as uncharacterized. The transcript has 2 exons. NCBI's taxonomy places the organism in Eukaryota, Metazoa, Chordata, Actinopteri, Spariformes, Sparidae. The record is from RefSeq and is a predicted model, not a curated record.
CUCCGCGCAGCUAAUCGGCGUCGUGCUCGGCGCCGCUGGGUGGUCCUCCGCUUUCCGUGGGAACUUUGAAAGCAAGGGGGGGAAAAAACAGAAAAGAAAAAAGAGGCUCUCGGAGGCGGCCAGCGGGCAGCGGCAGGAUGUUUGACCUUAAAGGAGCGAUCUGAAGAAAAAAGAUCGUCCGAACAGACUGAAUCAACAAACUGUCUUUGUUUACACGACUGAAUAAACAGAAAUAAACAAACUGACCUUAAAGAACAA